RNAcentral lists this ribosomal RNA (468 nucleotides) under uncultured bacterium. RNAcentral's name for it is "partial 16S ribosomal RNA". It matches the Rfam family "Bacterial small subunit ribosomal RNA", at positions 28 to 507 of the family's 1533-position model. The record is from RNAcentral.
GACGAACGCUGGCGGCGCGCCUAACACAUGCAAGUCGAACGGAGCUGAGAGAAGCUUGCUUUUCUUAGCUUAGUGGCGAACGGGUGAGUAGCGCGUGAGUAACCUGCCCUGGAGUGGGGGACAACAGUUGGAAACGACUGCUAAUACCGCAUAAGCCCACGAUCCGGCAUCGGAUUGAGGGAAAAGGAUUUAUUCGCUUCAGGAUGGACUCGCGUCCAAUUAGCUAGUUGGUGAGGUAACGGCCCACCAAGGCGACGAUUGGUAGCCGGACUGAGAGGUUGAACGGCCACAUUGGGACUGAGACACGGCCCAGACUCCUACGGGAGGCAGCAGUGGGGGAUAUUGCACAAUGGGGGAAACCCUGAUGCAGCGACGCCGCGUGGAGGAAGAAGGUUUUCGGAUUGUAAACUCCUGUCGUUAGGGACGAUAAUGACGGUACCUAACAAGAAAGCACCGGCUAACUACGUG